AACCAGCCAUGCCGCGUGCAGGAAGACGGCUCUAUGAGUUGUAAACUGCUUUUGUACAGGGAUAAUUGUGGAUACGUGUAUCCAUUUGCAGGUACUGUACGAAUAAGGAUCGGCUAACUCCGUGCCAGCAGCCGCGGUAAUACGGAGGAUCCAAGCGUUAUCCGGAUUUAUUGGGUUUAAAGGGUGCGUAGGCGGUUCGGUAAGUUAGAGGUGAAAACCCGUGGCUCAACCACGGACGUGCCUCUGAUACUGCCGGACUAGAGAGUAGAUGCGGUAGGCGGAAUGUGUGGUGUAGCGGUGAAAUGCUUAGAGAUCACACAGAACACCGAUUGCGAAGGCAGCUUACCAAUCUAUAUCUGACGUUGAGGCACGAAAGCGUGGGUAGCAAACAGGAUUAGAUACCCUGGUAGUCCACGCAGUAAACGAUGAUAGCUCGUUGUCGGCGAUACACAGUCGGUGACUUAGCGAAAGCGUUAAGCUAUCCACCUGGGGAGUACGUUCGCAAGAAUGAAACUCAAAGGAAUUGACGGGGGCCCGCACAAGCGGAGGAACAUGUGGUUUAAUUCGAUGAUACGCGAGGAACCUUACCCGGGCUUGAAAGUUAUUGACGGUGGUCGAAAGAUCACUUCCCUUCGGGGCAAGAAACUAGGUGCUGCAUGGUUGUCGUCAGCUCGUGCCGUGAGGUGUCGGAUUAAGUUCCAUAACGAGCGCAACCCUUGCCGUUAGUUGCCAUCAGGUGAUGCUGGGCACUCUAACGGGACUGCCGGUGUAAGCCGAGAGGAAGGUGGGGAUGACGUCAAAUCAGCACGGCCCUUACGUCCGGGGCGACACACGUGUUACAAUGGUCGGUACAGAGGGCAGCUACCCAGCGAUGGGAUGCGAAUCUCGAAAGCCGAUCUCAGUUCGGAUCGGAGGCUGAAACUCGCCUCCGUGAAGUUGGAUUCGCUAGUAAUCGCGCAUCA
This 962-nucleotide ribosomal RNA is filed under the name uncultured Bacteroidales bacterium. RNAcentral describes it as "bacterial SSU rRNA". It matches the Rfam family "Bacterial small subunit ribosomal RNA", at positions 386 to 1351 of the family's 1533-position model. The record is from RNAcentral. Lineage: Bacteria; Pseudomonadati; Bacteroidota; Bacteroidia; Bacteroidales.